AACGAACGCUGGCGGCAGGCUUAACACAUGCAAGUCGAGCGCCCCGCAAGGGGAGCGGCAGACGGGUGAGUAACGCGUGGGAAUCUACCCAUCUCUACGGAAUAACGCAUGGAAACGUGUGCUAAUACCGUAUACGUCCUUCGGGAGAAAGAUUUAUCGGAGAUGGAUGAGCCCGCGUUGGAUUAGCUAGUUGGUGGGGUAAAGGCCUACCAAGGCGACGAUCCAUAGCUGGUCUGAGAGGAUGAUCAGCCACACUGGGACUGAGACACGGCCCAGACUCCUACGGGAGGCAGCAGUGGGGAAUAUUGGACAAUGGGCGCAAGCCUGAUCCAGCCAUGCCGCGUGAGUGAUGAAGGCCCUAGGGUUGUAAAGCUCUUUCACCGGUGAAGAUAAUGACGGUAACCGGAGAAGAAGCCCCGGCUAACUUCGUGCCAGCCGCCGCCGUAACAC
RNAcentral lists this ribosomal RNA (450 nucleotides) under uncultured bacterium. RNAcentral's name for it is "bacterial SSU rRNA". It matches the Rfam family "Bacterial small subunit ribosomal RNA", at positions 29 to 526 of the family's 1533-position model. The record is from RNAcentral.